AUUGUUACAUUGCUUACAAGGACUUCCACUAGGCUGCCAGGGGACUUCCAUUCUUAUCCUCUCCCUGUACGCAUGAGAGAGAGAGUGAAAGGAAGAGAAAAGGGAAUAGAGAGAAGAAGAAGAAGAAAGUAACAAAUUUUGGUGCCGUUUGUCGUUUGUCGAGCCGAUCGAAACGCCGCGCAUCGGAUUUUUAGCAUUUCGACAUUCGGGAGCUGAUUUUGCGAGCGUUUCGUCGACGGAUUUUUCCGUGAGUUUCGGAUUGUUGUGGCUGCCAUGCGGAUUGGGUUUGGGCUGUUAGGUAAUUCCAGAGCAAGGUUCGGAAGCUUAGCUCGGAAUUGAUCACCUGUCAACCUAAUUGGGGGUAAAGCGAACGCGUUGGAAAACUCGGAUCGACGUUCCGACGAGUCUACGGCACGCUAACGAGGAAAACCUCCUUUUAGCCUAAGUUAUUGCGAGCAAGGAUUGUGAUCAUUCGUAAAGUGCGGCAAGUGGAAUUUUGGCAUUCCAAUAUCAAGUAAAGGUUCGCACGCGAGCGGCGCGGCGGCGCGAGGACAGGGCGUAGCUUCGUAGAUAGCGCCCUACCACCGAGACCAGAGAUAGCAGUACCCUGAAGCAGUCUAGCUCAGAGUUCAGGUUGAAAGAAACAAAUUUGUAGUAAAUUGUAUAAGUUGUAAAUUGGAUAAAGAUUUAUGUAAUAACAUAAAGGCAUUUGUAAUAUUCUAAAUGUAAAAUCUGUGAGAUGAAUGCUUGUAAUAGCAUAGCUAGCAUUUUAUGUUUUUGAUACUUA
Ananas comosus (pineapple) is the source of this 787-nucleotide long non-coding RNA. RefSeq lists it as uncharacterized. The record is from RefSeq and is a predicted model, not a curated record. The transcript is spliced from 4 exons. Lineage: Eukaryota; Viridiplantae; Streptophyta; Magnoliopsida; Poales; Bromeliaceae.